CCGUGAACCUCUGCCAUGCAUAAAACCGGGGAAUUACAGGAGGCAUAAAUAGGUUCGAAUUUGCCUUCAACUGCGGCUAAGGUAAAAAAAACCAGAAAGUAAACGCACAGCGACUAAGGUGACACAAGCCCCCUUAAAAAAGGCUGAGCUAAAGCUAAAACUGUAGACAGUCGGGCUUAUCGUCUCUAUAAAUAUUCAACAACUUGGAGACGUUGUUUUGUUGUAAGCUGGGCAUAUAUGUAUGUGCAUAUAAGCCACAGUAUUUAGUCGCACCGUGUGUUUGCCAUUGCGCAUACUUAACCCUUUGGGGUUAAGUUAAACAUUACGAUUACGUUUCACAUCGCUUAAAUUUGUGCGCGUUUCCUUUGUUUUUACUCGCUAUUUACUCGCAUUUUUGAUUUAUCGGUAACCCUAUCGUUUCAAUUGUAACUUCAAUUCCAUCUUCGACGGUUGCAGCAGGCGGCACAGUGCUUAUCGUUUGAAAAGCGUUCUUAUCAAGGCCAUGGCGUUCUAUUUAUAAUACCACCACAGGUCUGUCAAAAUCGGACAUGAAUUGGCCACCACCAGUGGCACGUGUUCAAUGUCUUUUCGAGCUGUUUGCUAUACUAUUUACUUAAUAAAGUAUUAUUACCUUCAUAAGCUGCACUACCAACUAUCAAUCAGUAGCAAGUUAUGGAAAACGUCAUUAUGACAGUACAAAAAAUAUUUCAACUUAUAUAAGUAAAUUUAAAAAUUUAUAUAUUAUUGAGUUCAGCUUUUUGUCACAUGUUUAGAGAGAGGAUCUUAUAUCUAUAUAUGCUUUAUCUAAGUUACUGCAAUUGCAAACUUACCGGGGUCGUGCAACUCCUGCUCCAUCUUCUCCACCUUGUUCACCUUCAUUAACUGCUGGUCAUCCGUGACACUCAGAUCCUGCGGAUGCUUCAUCAUGCUUCAUAACCAGUAUUUUUACUUUUUAUUUACAAGUGGGUCGGGAAGAUCCAAUCACAUAGUAAUGAAGUAAUGACCGGCAACUGUAAGUGGAAAAGGCAAUCGAUAAGCUGUCGUAUUUCAAUCUACUACUGGCUAAAACAACAGAAGGCGGGCCGAACAUAUUAAAUUUUUAAUGAUGACCCGCUAAUCGAGCGAAGUAUCACCUGUAAAUCUACAAAACGGUAUAUACAAAAUGGCUAUUUGUCGUUUGUGCACACAAUGUAGGUGUCAACUCGAGUGGCCGACAACCAAACGCUUCACAUUACAUUUCCCCCAUCAGAUAUUUUUGGUGGGGGGGGAGGUGUCAUUUUGUUUUACGAUCCCAUAUCAGCAAUAUGCCCGACACACACCUGUACUAGGGAUAGUAAUACUUUUAUAAAGCAAAGCUCUACGUACACUCCCCCUUCGAAUAUCAAAACAGUCCAAAAGGUAACACGUACACGUAAAGCUCCAAAAAAUACCAGAAAUCAUAAUCUUCAAUGCUUUAUUGACUAGCAGAUAAAAAACACUCAUUCUCGCAAAAUAAAAAAGGGAAAAAAAAACAGGUAAAAAAAGAGAAUUGACUGUUUGCGAUAACGCGAAAACAGAAUUUCUGUUUAUCGGCCCUUUAUUGUUUCUCAUCAUUAUGCGAGUUUUUGCGAUUUUCGGUCGAGUGCCAGAAAGGCCGAUAAGCCCCAUGGACUGUAUGGGUUCUAUUGCACUGGGUACCUCUGUAUCACUCUUUGAUUUCUCCCUCUUAUCGCUUAUCAGGGGGCAGCUGACGUAGACCCCCUCGUUUGCAUUGUCAAUUCGUGACCUUUGAACCCCGGUGACUUUCACGAUUCGCCGAAAUGGCGCCGAAAACAACACAAAUAGAACUCUUUUAUAAGCUUAUAAAUUUCCGGGAAAAAGCUGAUAUACUUUGUUUACCUUAAUACUCCGAUUCUAUUAAAUAACAAUCUAAGUAUAGGU
Non-coding RNA from Drosophila melanogaster (fruit fly), 1920 nucleotides. Lineage: Eukaryota; Metazoa; Arthropoda; Insecta; Diptera; Drosophilidae. The record is from Ensembl.